GGACUGCCAACUCCGGCCGCGGCCCGCCGGCGGUACACUAAACUCUGUUUUAUUUUAUAUUCUGAGCGUCUUAUUUUAAUAAGUUAAAACUUUCAACAACGGAUCUCUUGGUUCUGGCAUCGAUGAAGAACGCAGCGAAAUGCGAUAAGUAAUGUGAAUUGCAGAAUUCAGUGAAUCAUCGAAUCUUUGAACGCACAUUGCGCCCAUCAGUAUUCUGGUGGGCAUGCCUGUUCGAGCGUCAUUUCAACCCUUAAGCCUAGCUUAGUGUUGGGAAUCUGCUGUACUGCAGUUCCUUAAAGACAGUGGCGGAGCGGCGGUAGUCCUCUGAGCGUAGUAAUUUAUUUCUCGCUUUUGUCAGGCUCUGUCCUCCCGCCAUAAAACCCCCAAUUUUUUAGUGGUUGACCUCGGAUCAGGUAGGAAUACCCGCUGAACUUAAGCA
Molecule: ribosomal RNA, 439 nt
Filed under: Apiospora arundinis
Lineage: Eukaryota; Fungi; Ascomycota; Sordariomycetes; Amphisphaeriales; Apiosporaceae
Description: eukaryotic LSU rRNA
Rfam family: 5.8S ribosomal RNA (bases 88-241)
Source: RNAcentral